GUAGGUGAACCUGCGGAGGGAUCAUUAACGAGUUAGGGUCUCACCGGCCCGAUCUCCCAACCCGUUGUCUACUUGACCAUCGUUGCUUCGGCGAGCCCGUCCUCACGGACCGCCGGGGGGUCUUUACACCCCCUGGCCCGCGCUCGUCGAUAGCCCCCAAAUUUAAAAAAUCUUAACUAAACGUGUCUUGAAUCUAAGUAUUAUUGUUAAAUAAAAACAAAACUUUCAACAACGGAUCUCUUGGUUCUGG
Molecule: unclassified non-coding RNA, 250 nt
Filed under: plant metagenome
Description: partial contains small subunit ribosomal RNA, internal transcribed spacer 1, and 5.8S ribosomal RNA
Source: RNAcentral